CCUACGGGUGGCAGCAGUGGGGAAUAUUGGACAAUGGGCGAAAGCCUGAUCCAGCCAUGCCGCGUGUGUGAAGAAGGCCUUCGGGUUGUAAAGCACUUUCAGUGGGGAAGAAAGCCUUGGGGCUAAUACCCUCGAGGAAGGACAUCACCCACAGAAGAAGCACCGGCUAACUCCGUGCCAGCAGCCGCGGUAAUACGGAGGGUGCGAGCGUUAAUCGGAAUUACUGGGCGUAAAGCGCGCGUAGGCGGUCUGAUAAGCCGGUUGUGAAAGCCCCGGGCUCAACCUGGGAACGGCAUCCGGAACUGUCAGGCUAGAGUGCAGGAGAGGAAGGUAGAAUUCCCGGUGUAGCGGUGAAAUGCGUAGAGAUCGGGAGGAAUACCAGUGGCGAAGGCGGCCUUCUGGACUGACACUGACGCUGAGGUGUGAAAGCGUGGGUAGCAAACAGGAUUAGAUACCCGAGUAGUC
Molecule: ribosomal RNA, 465 nt
Filed under: Vreelandella stevensii
Lineage: Bacteria; Pseudomonadati; Pseudomonadota; Gammaproteobacteria; Oceanospirillales; Halomonadaceae
Description: partial 16S ribosomal RNA
Rfam family: Bacterial small subunit ribosomal RNA
Source: RNAcentral